GGCAUGGCCAAUCGGGUGGGAGGGUUUGAACCCUUCUUUCACGGGGAUUUAGAGCUCUUCCCAUGUUU
Molecule: transfer RNA, 68 nt
Filed under: Mimachlamys nobilis (noble scallop)
Lineage: Eukaryota; Metazoa; Mollusca; Bivalvia; Pectinida; Pectinidae
Description: tRNA-Ser
Source: RNAcentral